RNAcentral lists this ribosomal RNA (1348 nucleotides) under metagenome. RNAcentral describes it as "bacterial LSU rRNA". It matches the Rfam family "Bacterial large subunit ribosomal RNA", at positions 1578 to 2910 of the family's 2925-position model. The record is from RNAcentral.
AAAUGCGGGAAGCAGGGUGAUCCUAUGCUGCCAAGAAAAUCUUCUAGCGAGGUUCGAGCCGCCCGUACCCCAAACCGACUCAGGUGGUUAGGUAGAGAAUACCAAGGCGAUCGAGUGAAUCGUGGUUAAGGAAUUCGGCAAAAUGCCCCCGUAACUUCGGGAGAAGGGGGGCCCAGACUCUGAAGUCACUUGCUGACUAGGGGAAAGGGCCGCAGAGACCAGGGAGAAGCGACUGUUUACUAAAAACACAGGUCCGUGCGAAGUCGCAAGACGAUGUAUACGGACUGACGCCUGCCCGGUGCUGGAAGGUUAAGAGGACGGGUUAGAUCUUCGGGUCGAAGCUCAGAAUUUAAGCCCCAGUAAACGGCGGUGGUAACUAUAACCAUCCUAAGGUAGCGAAAUUCCUUGUCGGGUAAGUUCCGACCUGCACGAAUGGCGUAACGACUUCUCCACUGUCUCAACCGCGAACUCGGCGAAAUUGCACUACGAGUAAAGAUGCUCGUUACGCGCAGCAGGACGGAAAGACCCCGGGACCUUCACUAUAGCUUGGUAUUGGUGUUCGGGACGGCUUGUGUAGGAUAGGUGGGAGACUUUGAAGCCGGCACGCCAGUGUCGGUGGAGUCAACGUUGAAAUACCACUCUGGUCGUUCUGGAUGUCUAACCUCGGUCCGUGAUCCGGAUCAGGGACAGUGCCUGGUGGGUAGUUUAACUGGGGCGGUUGCCUCCUAAAAGGUAACGGAGGCGCUCAAAGGUUCCCUCAGCCUGGUUGGCAAUCAGGUGUCGAGUGUAAGUGCACAAGGGAGCUUGACUGCGAGAGAGACAUCUCGAGCAGGGACGGAAGUCGGAACUAGUGACCCGGCGGUGGCUUGUGGAAGCGCCGUCGCUCAACGGAUAAAAGGUACCCCGGGGAUAACAGGCUGAUCUUGCCCAAGAGUCCAUAUCGACGGCAAGGUUUGGCACCUCGAUGUCGGCUCGUCGCAUCCUGGGGGUGGAGUCGCACCCAAGGGUUGGGCUGUUCGCCCAUUAAAGCGGUACGCGAGCUGGGUUUAGAACGUCGUGAGACAGUUCGGUCCCUAUCCGCUGUGCGCGUAGGAAACUUGAGAAAGGCUGACCCUAGUACGAGAGGACCGGGUUGGACGAACCUCUGGUGUGUCAGUUGUUCUGCCAAGAGCACCGCUGAUUAGCUACGUUCGGAAGUGAUAACCGCUGAAAGCAUCUAAGCGGGAAGCACGUUUCAAGAUGAGGUUUCCAUGGGGCUUGCCCCGAGAGGCUCCCGGCUAGACUACCGGGUUGAUAGGCCAGACGUGGAAGUGCAGUAAUGCAUGUAGCUGACUGGUACUAAUAAGCC